This 465-nucleotide ribosomal RNA is filed under the name Vreelandella stevensii. RNAcentral describes it as "partial 16S ribosomal RNA". It matches the Rfam family "Bacterial small subunit ribosomal RNA", at positions 338 to 795 of the family's 1533-position model. Lineage: Bacteria; Pseudomonadati; Pseudomonadota; Gammaproteobacteria; Oceanospirillales; Halomonadaceae. The record is from RNAcentral.
CCUACGUGCGGCAGCAGUGGGGAAUAUUGGACAAUGGGCGAAAGCCUGAUCCAGCCAUGCCGCGUGUGUGAAGAAGGCCUUCGGGUUGUAAAGCACUUUCAGUGGGGAAGAAAGCCUUGGGGCUAAUACCCUCGAGGAAGGACAUCACCCACAGAAGAAGCACCGGCUAACUCCGCGCCAGCAGCCGCGGUAAUACGGAGGGUGCGAGCGUUAAUCGGAAUUACUGGGCGUAAAGCGCGCGUAGGCGGUCUGAUAAGCCGGUUGUGAAAGCCCCGGGCUCAACCUGGGAACGGCAUCCGGAACUGUCAGGCUAGAGUGCAGGAGAGGAAGGUAGAAUUCCCGGUGUAGCGGUGAAAUGCGUAGAGAUCUGGAGGAAUACCAGUGGCGAAGGCGGCCUUCUGGACUGACACUGACGCUGAGGUGCGAAAGCGUGGGUAGCAAACAGGAUUAGAUACCCCAGUAGUC